CUAUAUGAAGUCGGAAUUGCUAGUAAUCGCGGAUCAGCAUGCCGCGGUGAAUACGUUCCCGGGCCUUGUACACACCGCCCGUCACACCAUGAGAGUCGAUAACACCCGAAGCCUGUAGUCUAACAGCAAUGAGGACGCAGUCGAAGGUGGGAUUGAUAAUUAGGGUGAAGUCGUAACAAGGUAUC
Molecule: ribosomal RNA, 185 nt
Filed under: uncultured bacterium
Lineage: Bacteria
Description: partial 16S ribosomal RNA
Rfam family: Bacterial small subunit ribosomal RNA
Source: RNAcentral